This is a long non-coding RNA of Sinocyclocheilus grahami, 713 nucleotides long. RefSeq lists it as uncharacterized. The transcript has 3 exons. NCBI's taxonomy places the organism in Eukaryota, Metazoa, Chordata, Actinopteri, Cypriniformes, Cyprinidae. The record is from RefSeq and is a predicted model, not a curated record.
CAACGCCAACGCCUGUCAGGAUCAGAACGCUCUUCAUGACCGGAUGGACGUCGUAGAGAAGCGGGUGGAGGACACUCUUCAGAAGUUGGAGGCUGAGCUGGCUCUUCUGCUGGACGCUGUUGAGGCCCCUGAGUGGAGCCCCCUGCUGGACAAACCACUCAUCGACAUACUGGACGAGCCGCCGGGUGAAAUAUGAUCCUGGCGUUUCUUCAUGAGAUCGCACACAACAAUAAUGGGACGGAGCAGCCCAUAAAGUUCUGGUCCUAUAAUAAGUCAAAUCAGGGUUUUUAAAAAAAAAAGCUUUUCUUACUAAAAUUAAAUGACUCAUUCAUUCUCCUUUACUGCGUUUCAGUGUUUUCUUCUGGUGUUUGUUUGGAACUGUAUUAUAAAUGAUUUGAGGAGAUGAUCAAUCACUGCAUGCAUGUGAAUAUACAAAAAUAACAUGUUUACAGUAGAUACAGUGAACUCUUUCUCUCUUUUCUUUACUGAAUCCAGGAAACCUGUUGCUUUGCGUUGAGAAAAAAAAACGUAGGAUCUAAACAGGUUUUAAGACACUAUUAGGAGCAUCUAAGACAUUUUUCUCAUGUUGUCGUUCAGGGCUUCUGCACUACUGGAGACUACUAGUGAAAAAGUGAAAACUGCCUAUUCUAAACUCACAAAAGAAAUGGAAAGCAUAUUACAAAUAUGCUGCACCGUAGAACUUUUACAAAAAG